Long non-coding RNA from Liolophura sinensis, 332 nucleotides. RefSeq lists it as uncharacterized. The transcript is spliced from 3 exons. NCBI's taxonomy places the organism in Eukaryota, Metazoa, Mollusca, Polyplacophora, Chitonida, Chitonidae. The record is from RefSeq and is a predicted model, not a curated record.
AUUUGGUUUCAGAAUAUAAGCAGGACAUUUGCAGAAAACUCAAAAUGGUCCUAAUGACACUCAAUUGGAAGAAAUGCUCAAGGAUUCGAAUUCUUUGCCUGUGAUGCACUUGUGACAUGAUUCUGCCUUGGAAGUUUUAUGGCCAGUGGAAGCGUGUAGUCAUGAUUUGAUGGGGGUUUGAAUGGGUGGACAAACAAAGCGUGGACAAAGUGCAUCGGAGAGAUACAGAUCAAUUGCGUGGUGCAGACCAAUGCUGCCUGAAACAGUUCACCACAGAUGAUAAGAAAAAGUCUGAGAAGAAUGUUUAAAAACUGGGCCCUUACCGCGAAACA